This is a long non-coding RNA of Raphanus sativus (radish), 845 nucleotides long. RefSeq lists it as uncharacterized. The transcript has 5 exons. The record is from RefSeq and is a predicted model, not a curated record. Lineage: Eukaryota; Viridiplantae; Streptophyta; Magnoliopsida; Brassicales; Brassicaceae.
AAUGCAAUUUUAGUCUUCAUUUUUGGUAAUAAAAAAGAAGACAAACCCUAGCGGCCGUUACUCUCUCUCGAUCUCUUGAGCGAUUUCCGGUGAAGUCAACCCGUCUCAGCCGCUUACACUGGUUGCUGUCUCGCUGCUGUUGCUAUAUCUUCCCUCUGAUCUUCUCUCCGCCGCGUCUCCUCUCCGCCUCUCUCCACCGCGUCUCCUCUUCGCGUCUCUUUUUCUCACCGCAGUUCACUCUCCGCCUCUCUCUCAAAUACAACUUCCAUUUUCAAUGACCUCUGUCCAUGAAGGAGAAAGAUUUCAUCAUCUCAGAGCAGAAAAAAUCUGGUUGAGGUGAGUGAUGCAGAUCUUCUUUCAUUGAUAGAAAAUUACUGCAGAGAAGCAGGAGUUAGGAAUCUCCAGAAAUAAAUCGAGAAGAUUUACAAGAAGGCAGGGUGAGAGACUAUCAUAUUUCCAGAAGCAAACAUGAGAGACUUUGAAGAGCUUUCGGAGGAUGUGAAAGAAGGGCUUGAUGUUCACUUUGUGGAUGACUAUUAAAAGAUCUCCGACCUUGCAUUUGUCUCUGAGAAUAAGCAACAUGACUGAGAUAACUCAGAAGUCAUUUUGACCUUCUUUCCCUGUUGUCUCUGUCUAAACAAGAAGACCGACCAUUCUUGAUUCUUUUUUUUUUCUAUAUACUUCUGUCCCUUCAAGAAGUGUCCUAUUGUAACCUUUUUUUUUUCAUUAGGAUAGUUUAUUUAUGUGGUUGGACUGUUGUGGUAUAUUUUCACAAUCACAUCCAGAUCAUUAUGAAUCAAAAUAAAAUUGUUCUCUGCUUGUUAUACUAUGAACAGAUUGGUGUA